UAGGGAAUAUUGGACAAUGGGGGCAACCCUGAUCCAGCCAUGCCGCGUGAGUGAAGAAGGCCCUCGGGUUGUAAAGCUCUUUUGUCCGGAAAGAAAAGCAUUCGGUGAAUACCCGGAUGUUCUGACGGUACCGGAAGAAUAAGCACCGGCUAACUUCGUGCCAGCAGCCGCGGUAAUACGAAGGGUGCAAGCGUUACUCGGAAUUACUGGGCGUAAAGCGUGCGUAGGUGGUUGUUUAAGUCUGAUGUGAAAGCCCUGGGCUCAACCUGGGAAUGGCAUGGGAAACUGGGCAGCUAGAGUGCGGUAGAGGGUAGUGGAAUUCCCGGUGUAGCAGUGAAAUGCGUAGAGAUCGGGAGGAACAUCUGUGGCGAAGGCGACAGCCUGGACCAGCACUGACACUGAGGCACGAAAGCGUGGGGAGCAAACA
Molecule: ribosomal RNA, 427 nt
Filed under: uncultured bacterium
Lineage: Bacteria
Description: bacterial SSU rRNA
Rfam family: Bacterial small subunit ribosomal RNA
Source: RNAcentral